AGGCUAGCUGGUUUAUUCUUAUACAAAUUAAAAAGAAUGUAGUUUAAUAAAUCUUGCACUUACAGACUUGCAUUAACUUUGCAGCUUCUAAUUGUAUGCAAGUAGCUAAAGCCUUCAUAGUUGAAACCAUUACAUGAUAUUUCAAAAUUAAAUAGAAAAAUAUACAUCAACUUGGAUAAAUAUUACAGCAAAACCUUUAUAAUAGCCUAUGUUAAAGAAAAGCAAAGUAAAAGGCAAUUUUCUAUCGCCUCUGGAAAUUGAAGGCCUUGAUGGAAAUGGCGAAAAUAAAUGCAAAGAGUAAAGUGAUUCCAACAAUAACACCUGCAGAUACUCCAAGGAAAUCAUGCUUAAUACCAUAUAAGUCAUUCACGUAUUGCUCCACUGUUUGACCAGUAUUCCCGAUCUCUGUCUUUAUAUCGGCAAACUGUGAUGCAAAUAAUCCAUACAAAGUCCAUGAUACUGGACAUGCCCAGUAGUACCAUCUCCACCAUACAGGCAUUUUAGUUCUUGGAACAAUGAAUCCAGAAAACAGAUUCCAUAUUGCAUAGAAUGCUGAGGAUACUAUUGAUGCGAUGUGGUGGUUUGGUGUCACAGCGACAGUCAUCAUUCCAUAAAAGGUGAAGUACAAUAAUGUGAAGUACAAGAAGAAUAGAUACCAGAAAAACUUGGCAGCAGUCCAUUCAAACCCAAUCAUUGCAUAUGUUAUAACACUGUAGACUCCAGCUUGAGCAAAAAUAUAUGGAAGUUCAAUCAAGGCCUGUGCAUAGGCAUAGGG
Molecule: unclassified non-coding RNA, 775 nt
Filed under: Hevea brasiliensis (rubber tree)
Lineage: Eukaryota; Viridiplantae; Streptophyta; Magnoliopsida; Malpighiales; Euphorbiaceae
Source: RNAcentral